GGCGACGGGUGAGUAACACGUGAGUAACCUGCCCUUCACUCUGGGAUAAGCCCGGGAAACUGGGUCUAAUACCGGAUAUGACCGUCCACCGCAUGGACUCGCGGCCUAUCAGCUUGUUGGUGAGGUAAUGGCUCACCAAGGCGACGACGGGUAGCCGGCCUGAGAGGGUGACCGGCCACACUGGGACUGAGACACGGCCCAGACUCCUACGGGAGGCAGCAGUGGGGAAUAUUGCACAAUGGGCGAAAGCCUGAUGCAGCGACGCCGCGUGAGGGAUGACGGCCUUCGGGUUGUAAACCUCUUUCAGCAGGGAAGAAGCGAAAGUGACGGUACCUGCAGAAGAAGCACCG
This 350-nucleotide ribosomal RNA is filed under the name Dermatophilus congolensis. RNAcentral describes it as "bacterial SSU rRNA". It matches the Rfam family "Bacterial small subunit ribosomal RNA", at positions 97 to 495 of the family's 1533-position model. Lineage: Bacteria; Bacillati; Actinomycetota; Actinomycetes; Micrococcales; Dermatophilaceae. The record is from RNAcentral.